GUCCUUUCGCUUCUUCCCUGCUAAAAGAGGUUUACAACCCGAAGGCCGUCAUCCCUCACGCGGCGUUGCUGCAUCAGGCUUUCGCCCAUUGUGCAAUAUUCCCCACUGCUGCCUCCCGUAGGAGUCUGGGCCGUGUCUCAGUCCCAGUGUGGCCGGUCACCCUCUCAGGCCGGCUACCCGUCGACGCCUUGGUGAGCCAUUACCUCACCAACAAGCUGAUAGGCCGCGAGCCCAUCCCCAACCGAAAUUCUUUCCAGACGCAGACCAUGCGGYCACGUCACAUAUCCAGUAUUAGACGCCGUUUCCAGCGCUUAUCCCAGAGUCAGGGGCAGGUUGCUCACGUGUUACUCACCCGUUCGCCACUGAUCCACAGAGCAAGCUCUGCUUCACCGUUCGACUUGCAUGUGUUAAGCACGCCGCCAGCGUUCAUCCUGAGCCAU
Molecule: ribosomal RNA, 440 nt
Filed under: Microbacterium sp. D28
Lineage: Bacteria; Bacillati; Actinomycetota; Actinomycetes; Micrococcales; Microbacteriaceae
Description: partial 16S ribosomal RNA
Source: RNAcentral